UACGGGGGGGGCAAGCGUUGUUCGGAAUUACUGGGCGUAAAGGGCUCGUAGGCGGCCAACUAAGUCAGACGUGAAAUCCCUCGGCUUAACCGGGGAACUGCAUCUGAUACUGGAUGGCUUGAGAUUGGGAGAGGGAUGCGGAAUUCCAGGUGUAGCGGUGAAAUGCGUAGAUAUCUGGAGGAACACCGGUGGCGAAGGCGGCAUCCUGGACCAACACUGACGCUGAGGAGCGAAAGCCAGGGGAGCAAACAGG
RNAcentral lists this ribosomal RNA (253 nucleotides) under uncultured bacterium. Its description in RNAcentral is "partial 16S ribosomal RNA". It matches the Rfam family "Bacterial small subunit ribosomal RNA", at positions 524 to 776 of the family's 1533-position model. The record is from RNAcentral.